UCUCUCUCUCUCUCCCCAGUCUGCGCAAAGAGAAAGACAGAAAGAGAAGUCCCCUUCCCCAUUGGCUAGCAUGGCCAUGGAAUGCAUUUCCCAAUCCCCAUUGGCUGGCAUGGCCCAAUCCCCUCCCAAGAACCAAACCCCCCCACUCAAACACAGACACCAUGGUUUCCAGAUCCGGCCGUCCGGCUAGCUCCUCCCUUGAGCUGUGUGGGAGAAGAAGCGUUCAGCAGCCAUUGCCGACCAGGAGGGAGGAGAAUCCGGCGGAAACUGGAAGGACUUGACGAUGUCGUGUUACUGCCUUAUAUUGGAUGUGAACUAGUUAAUUAAUUAGCAUGUUAUUAUUUACUUGGUUUCUUCUCAGACAUUAUGGCUAGCUUGUCAACUUUUGUGCUGAUGUGUGUGAAGGUACUAGUGAUGAGCGCAUGCAUGCAUGGAUAGGGUUGAUGGUGUGUUUGAAUGCUGUUUGACAUGAAACCGAAAUCCAUAGUAGUAGUAGUAGUGCAUGUACGUGGAUGACAAACUGAUCUGCCAGCAACAUGGACACUUUAAGAUAGUGUUGUGUUGAGUUGUUGUCGCCUGUCCUUGGUACUAGCCCCUGUCGGCUGCUCGUACUUGCCAAUCAGUUACAUGAUGCAAAUAAUAGUUUUUUGUUUUUGUUUUUUCUUAACAGUUCAAUAAGUAUACUAUAUAAUAGUGUGUGCAAUGAUCCAUCCUAUACUGUGCGAAUUGUACUGCUAGUGUUGGUCUUAUAGCCCCUGCUUGGAUGCAUAUGCCUUGUCGACAUGUAUUAAUGGCCUAUCUGCUGUGGUGCUGCAAACAGAGCUGUCAAAUGGUACUGUGAUGAAUAUAUGUUUGUAGCAAACAUAUAGUAUCAUUUGAGAAGGGCACAACAUAUUUAUGUCUUUUUCGAUCAUGUAAUAAGAGAAACUUGCAUGACACUGAAUUCCUUAAUUUGUGGAAUCAGAGUAUGAUUUAUUUUGUGAUGUAAAA
Molecule: long non-coding RNA, 990 nt
Organism: Hordeum vulgare subsp. vulgare (domesticated barley)
Lineage: Eukaryota; Viridiplantae; Streptophyta; Magnoliopsida; Poales; Poaceae
Exons: 2
Source: RefSeq, a predicted model, not a curated record